UCACUUGCAGAUGGACCUGCGGCGCAUUAGCUAGUUGGUGGGGUAACGGCUCACCAAGGCGACGAUGCGUAGCCGACCUGAGAGGGUGAACGGCCACACUGGGACUGAGACACGGCCCAGACUCCUACGGGAGGCAGCAGUAGGGAAUCUUCCGCAAUGGACGAAAGUCUGACGGAGCAACGCCGCGUGAGUGAUGAAGGUUUUCGGAUCGUAAAGCUCUGUUGCCAGGGAAGAACGUUCGGUAGAGUAACUGCUACCGGAGUGACGGUACCUGAGAAGAAAGCCCCGGCUAACUACGUGCCAGCAGCCGCGGUAAUACGUAGGGGGCAAGCGUUGUCCGGAAUUAUUGGGCGUAAAGCGCGCGCAGGCGGCUAUUUAAGUCUGAUGUUUAAUCCUAAGGCUCAACCUUAGGUCGCAUUGGAAACUGGGUAGCUUGAGUGCAGAAGAGGAGAGUGGAAUUCCACGUGUAGCGGUGAAAUGCGUAGAGAU
This 489-nucleotide ribosomal RNA is filed under the name bacterium Chibwantu11. RNAcentral's name for it is "bacterial SSU rRNA". It matches the Rfam family "Bacterial small subunit ribosomal RNA", at positions 215 to 697 of the family's 1533-position model. The record is from RNAcentral.